Amphiprion ocellaris (clown anemonefish) is the source of this 5406-nucleotide long non-coding RNA. RefSeq lists it as uncharacterized. The transcript has 4 exons. NCBI's taxonomy places the organism in Eukaryota, Metazoa, Chordata, Actinopteri, Pomacentridae. The record is from RefSeq and is a predicted model, not a curated record.
CAGGAAAGACGAAUAACGAGUGAAACUCCGAUGUCCGAGUGCCUUCGAAUGCACCAUGUAGACGUCACGUCCUGUACAGUCUAUGCUGCUACAGAUACGAGGUGACACAAUCCCACUGAGGGGGCUGCUCUUAGAUCUCACUCAUGUGGAUGACAGCUGGACUUCGGUGUGACAGAGACAGUAAAGAAUGAAGAGGAAGGGAACCACCAGCAGCUUUUCCCAGCCUAAAAGAAGAGAGGAGGAAGAGCAUCCCAGAGAGGAGAUGGAGGAGGAAGAGUUCAGAGAAAGAAAUGAAGGCAUGCAGAGCUCAGACAGCGAAAGAUUGACUUUGGGACCAGACUGAUACCUCCCUGAUGGCACUGUGCGAUGUACUGCAUAAGAAUCUCAACAACAAAGGAGUGCAGGUCCAGCAGCAGCUCACCUCUCCUUUACGGAUCACCUGGAGACAUGCGCACACACAGCGGUAUGAAAGGGCGGGAAGGUCUCAAAGCUCCAAUGACACUUUUCUGUAGCUAAUCUUACACUGUGACCCUGUGAUUGAUCAGCAGGGGAUCAGAAGAAGAAAAAAUCGAGUCUCAUUGUUCACAAAAAAGUCAUUAUUAACAAAGAUCUUUUUGCCUAGCAACUAGGAGAUCAGUGCAGAAGCAGAGCAUAUAUAAUAUGAACUAAAGAAAGUGGUAAAAUGGUGGGCCGGUGGUUAGUCACAUUACAAGUACUUAUGUACAAGUCUGAGGUACUUGAAGUUGACCUGAGUGUUAAUUUUAUAUUACUGUCUACUUCUGCUUACUGCAUUUAUUUAACAGAUACUGGUAAAAGAUGACAAUUCAGAUUUUAAAACCUCUAAUGAGCUUAAUCAUAUAUUAUACAUUGUUAUACUGCAAAUUAAACUACUCAGUAAAGUGGCUAGAAUCAGCUCCUUCUUGACCAACUACAACAUUAAAAUGUACCUAUUAAUGCAUCCGUGAUAAAUGUGAAACAUAUCAGUCUAACCCUGAAUGAACACUUGAAACUGACUGUAUAAUAAAAAAAACCAAACAAUUACAUCCAAAAUAAAUCUGAGGAUGAGACUCAAAUUUACGGUGAAAGAGUGUCAUGGCUGCCAUGCGACCUGUUAAUCAUUCCAGACUAGACUUUCAAUCAAGCAGCCACAAAAGGCUGAUGCCGUAUAUGAAUUUAAUUAUGGAAUAAUUUUCAGAUGGACGACCAGAUCUUUUGAUAUGGCCAAGGAGACUAACAGAAAAAAGUGUCUUGUCCUGUAGAAUUUAUUUAUUUGUUGUUACACUGCCAAGGAAUGUGGCGGAGUUUUAUGACGAUCGGCGUAUGUUUGUCCUUUUGUGAAUCUGUGAAUCUGUCUGUGCACAACAUUACUCAAAAACAGACUUAUGGAUUUGGAUGAAAUUUUCAGGGAAGGUCAGAAAUGACACAAGACCCACCUCAUUUGAUUCUGGCAGUGAUGCGGCUUAUAGUCUGAAUCCACGGAUUUGUUAAAAAUUUCUGUAUCAUUGCGAGAUAGCAGCACAGAAUCACUGUAACUAUGACAACAAGUAAAUGGUACAUCAGCUGCCUGCUGACGAUCACGAUUGUGAUCGUACUACAAAUCAACCGCUGCAGACUUAUCGGGACUUAUCCGUCCGAAAUCAUACAACAACUGAGCAGCCUUGGCAGAGAACUGCACUUUCUGCUUUUCUUGUUACUCCGCCAAGGAACACAGCGGAGUUAUGUGACGAUCGGCGUACGUUUGUCUGUGAAUCCAUCUGUCUGUCUGCCCAUAACAUUAAAAAUACGCCUUCAAAAUAAAAGCAUGGAGGGAACGGUUAUUUUAACACUAGCAAAACAAAAGCUUGCCGAAAGUGAUGAACUGAUCAACAGACUUUUAUGAGUAAUUUACACGCAAUUCGGUAUCCAUACAUGACAUGCACAUGCAUAACACAUGCCUGUGCUCUGCACAAGUUCAUUUUUUAUUAAAUAUUUCAUCCGUCGGAAAUGAUGCGUCAACUGAGCAGCCUUGGCGGAGUACUGCGCUCUCUGAGUGCUUUUCCAGCAGUUUCGUAUGUGGUCCAAAAUAUGACAAAAACGUCACAGUUUAGUAUGUGGUCCAACAAGUGGAAAGAAGGUGCCCAGGUAGCUCAACUGGUUGAAAGGGUGACUCAUAAACAGGACUGUGUCAGACACAGGUUUGAUUUCAACUCAUGGCCCUUUACUGCCUGUCUUCCUCUCUACUUCCCUAUUGAAUAAAACCAACAAAAGGACCCAAAAAACAACUUUAAAAAAAAAGGUCAUAGGAUGUCGUCCUAAAUGUGAAAAAAAAGGUCAUAGUUUAGUAUGUCAUCGAAAAUGUGGAAAAAACUUCAUAGUUUAGUAUGUCGUCCAACAAGUGACCAAAGGAGCACAGGUAGCUCAACUGGUUGAGGGCAGCGCAUACACAGGAUUGCGUCAGAGAUGUAGGUUCAAUUCUUAGCUCAUGGCCCUUUACUGUAGGUCUUCCUCUCUACUUACCUAUUGAAUAAAACUAACAAAAGGGCCCAAGAAACAUCUUUGAAAAAAAUUUCAUAGUUUAGCAUGUCGUCAUAAAUGUGGAAAAAAUGUCAUCGUUUAGUACAUUGUCCAAAAUGUGAAAAAAAAUGUCAUAGUUUAGUAUGUCGUCCAAAAUAUCACAAAAAUGUCAUAGUUUACUAUGUCGUCCAAAAUGUGACAAAAAUGUCAUAGUUUAGCAUGUCGUCCAAAAUAUCACAAAAAUGUCAUAGUUUAGUUUGUCGUCCAGAAUGUGACAAAAACGUCAUAGUUUAGUAUGUCGUCCGAAACGUCACAAAAAUGUCAUAGUUUAGUGUCGUCCAAAAUGUGACAAAAAUGUCAUAGUUUAGUAUGUCGUCCAAAAUGUGACAAAAAUGUCAUAGUUUAGUAUGUCGUCCAAAACAUCACAAAAACGUCAUAGUUUUGUAUGUCGUCCAAAAUUUGACAAAAACUUCAUAGUUUAGUCUGUCGUCCAAAAUGUGACAAAAACGUCAUAGUUUAGUAUGUCGUCCAAAAUUUGACAAAAACGUCAUAGUUUAGUAUGUCGUCCGAAACGUCACAAAAAUGUCAUAGUUUAGUAUGUCGUCCAAAAUGUGACAAAAAUGUCAUAGUUUAGUAUGUCGUCCAAAACAUCACAAAAACGUCAUAGUUUUGUAUGUCGUCCAAAAUUUGACAAAAACGUCAUAGUUUAGUCUGUCGUCCAAAAUGUGAAAAAAAUGUCAUAGUUUAGUAUGUCGACCAAAAUAUCACAAAAAUGUCAUAGUUUACUAUGUCGUCCAAAAUGUGACAAAAAUAUCAUAGUUUAGCAUGUCGUCCAAAAUAUCAUAAAAAUGUCAUAGUUUAGUUUGUCGUCCAGAAUGUGACAAAAACGUCAUAGUUUAGUAUGUCGUCCGAAACGUCACAAAAAUGUCAUAGUUUAGUAUGUCGUCCAAAAUGUGACAAAAAUGUCAUAGUUUAGUAUGUCGUCCAAAAUGUGACAAAAAUGUCAUAGUUUAGUAUGUCGUCCAAAACAUCACAAAAACGUCAUAGUUUUGUAUGUCGUCCAAAAUUUGACAAAAACUUCAUAGUUUAGUCUGUCGUCCAAAAUGUGAAAAAAAAUGUCAUAGUUUAGCAUGUCGUCCAAAAUAUCACAAAAAUGUCAUAGUUUACUAUGUCGUCCAAAAUGUGACAAAAAUGUCAUAGUUUAGUAUGUCGUCCAAAAUAUCACAAAAAUGUCAUAGUUUAGUUUGUCAUCCAGAAUGUGACAAAAAUGGCAUAGUUUAGUAUGUCGUCCAAAAUAUCACAAAAACGUCAUACUUUAGUAUGUCGUCCGAAAUGUCACAAAAACGUCAUAGUUUAGUUUGUCGUCCAAAAUGUGGAAAAAAAGUCAUACUUUAGUAUGUCGUCCAAAAUAUGACAAAAACGCCAUUGUUUAGUAUGUCGCCCAAAAUAUGACAAAAAGGCCAGUUUAGUAUGUCGUCCAAAAUGUGACAAAAAUGUCAUAGAAGUAUGUCGUCCGAAAUGUGAAACAAACGUCAUAGUUUAGUAUGUCGUCCGAAAUGUCACAAAAAUGUCAUAGUUUAGUAUGUCGUUCAAAAUGUGACAAAAAUGUCAUAGUUUUGUAUGUCGUCCGAAAUAUCACAUAAACGUCAUAAUUUAGCAUGUCGCUCUAAAAACGUCAUAGAAAAGCCUUUAGUCCACAAAACGUUGUUUUGUCCCGGCUGUCUGAAGUAGGUGAGGAGCAACACAAAAACAGUUCAAACACUAGUUUCCAGACGGUUAGAUGAGUAUUUAUUUGAAGAGCAAGUUUACAACAACACAACAUGUGAGGGUAAACAAAACAAAAACGUAUCAACAAAGUUUUCUGUUAGAGUUUGGGCUCUUCUGAGUUUAACUCCAAGAUUUUAAAUACUUUCAUUUACUGCAAAUGAAUAUCUACUCCAAAUGUCUCACUAAUAAUCAUUAUCAGCCUUAAAAACCCACAAAACACCCCUCUAUACUCGACCACACUUAGUACAGUCCGGUUCCCCCUUCUAGAAAUCUGCUUGGAAUCGCCCACUUCCUGUUUGUCAAAGUGGCCUUCUACCUGGACAGGUUUUGUUGGAGCUCAUGCAACAAACAUUUUGGGUAAGUGCACUUUAAUAUGGAUGGAUGACACUGAAUUAGAGUCUGUUUUAAUGAGACUGAGUUAAGAUGUGUAGCUCUGUCAUUAAAUAGGAAAUGAUUUCUCAGAAUUCACAGAGAAAAGUCUGAAAUGUUUGCUAGGUUAGCGUCCCACAUGUUCUUUGGCUCAGCUAAAGCUAACUCUCUCCAACUUCUGGAUCUCUUGAGUUGCUUGUUAAAAUAUCUUGCUAGAGGUGCUGAAGCUCAGAAAGUCUGAGAUGUUUGUUCAAAAUCAGCUCAUUCUCAAGUCUUCUCUGAACUGUCCUCUUUUGUUUGAACUUUCCCUAAACUUAGGAGUUAAUGACAGAGCAGCACAUCCAGACUCAUUUAUGUAGAGAUUAAACUUCAGUGUCAUUCAUUGAUGUUAAAGUGCAGUUUUUCAAAUGUUUGUUGCAUAUGCUCCCAACCAAACCAGUCCAGGUGGAAGACGAUGUGAAGAGAAAGCUCCAGAGGAUGAAUAUCACACAUUUACGUUGGAAAUAAAUGUCCUUUAAUUAGACAUUGUCAUGCAAAAGUUGGAUUUCCCUUUAAUGAUGUUCAAAUCUUUGUUGAGUGUUUUGUUGAUGUUGGUUUCUAAAUGUUUUCUGACACUCUGCCCCAAAGAUUAAAACCUUUUCUGACUCACAAGCUGCAACAAUUCACACAUUAUCAACUAUCUUUCUGACUAAGAUAAAAAGUGAAAAGCUGUCUGAUUCCUGCAUCAUGAAUGUAAAUCUUUUUGGUUUUUAUGACAGUAAACUGAAUAUAUUUGGG